ACAUACGAUCCGUGUUUAGGUGGCUUGAAUCAGAAGGGAACCCCGUGAAAAUCGGGGACGGCCACGCCGCUGUAAUCGGGGACGAAACUUGCCAGAACCACUGCCCUGGGUCUGUCGAAGGGUGGGAAGGGGCAAGGAAGCCUGAGAGGAUAAGCUCCCGCAGGCCUUUGUAGGUUGAUCCGAGAGUCAGAAGACCCGCCUGAACACGCUUCACAAU
Molecule: non-coding RNA, 217 nt
Filed under: Deltaproteobacteria bacterium
Lineage: Bacteria; Pseudomonadati; Myxococcota; Myxococcia
Source: RNAcentral